AAGAAUCCUGCGGGCUUCACGCCUGUCUUCAUUGCCUCACGGCCUAUUCUACGUCAUCACCUUUCCUUCUCAUCUUUCGCUUCUCACGCGUGGGUCUGAGAAACUCUAUAAAUCUGCCGACUAAGAAGUAAGGCAGACAGUUUUCCUGAGUUGCCGAGCUUCAAGGCAAUCCGUCAGGAGGUACGGCUCUCGGUGGUAAGGCAGAGCUUGUCUCAAGCAAAUUCCCGAUCUCCAACAUGGGGGAUUACGGGAGGGACGAGAUCCAGAGAAGGGNNNNN
This 278-nucleotide long non-coding RNA is filed under the name Spirodela polyrhiza (greater duckweed). Its description in RNAcentral is "long non-coding RNA (SPOL_LNC000926)". Lineage: Eukaryota; Viridiplantae; Streptophyta; Magnoliopsida; Alismatales; Araceae. The record is from RNAcentral.